This 753-nucleotide long non-coding RNA is filed under the name Ananas comosus (pineapple). Its description in RNAcentral is "long non-coding RNA (ACOM_LNC004051)". The record is from RNAcentral. Lineage: Eukaryota; Viridiplantae; Streptophyta; Magnoliopsida; Poales; Bromeliaceae.
UGAGCUAGAAUACUAUCGAUAGCAAACGUGCUCCGUUGCCACUCAUUUGUUUUCGAUGAUGGAGUCUCCAAAUCGACGAUCGGCACCGUUGAACAUGAUCUAUACCACUUGAAGUGUUUAGAAAUUAAAUUUCAUAUAUUUUCGAUAUUGUUCUCUUAUCUAUCGAGUGGACACAAAAAUGAAUGGCUGAAAAUGAAUAUUCUAUAAAAAAUGAUGAUAGGAGUCUUGUAAUCAAGAUCAAGAGUAUAGAUCUUGUUUUAAAUUAUUUAAAGAAUUUUCUAACAAACAUUCAAUUGAUUUGGAUAUCUUUACGCUGUUAAACAAGAAAACGCAUCAUAUCGACCAUUAAAAUUACAAAUUUUGAAAUCCUUUGAUCAUUAGUCAAAUGAUGUCGAAAAGAUUUGAAAUUUGAUUUCUAAACACUUCAAUUGUAUAGAUCAUGUUCAACAGUACUGAUCGUCGAUUUGGAGGCUCUAUCAUCGAAAACAAAUGGGUGGCAACGGAGCCCAUUUGCUAUCGAAGGCCACCUCGUGGACCACGUGCAAGCUGGGGUAGUGAACACCGCCAUUUUCCAUGUGGGUUCACACUUGCACCACGUCGCCAAUAACAAAUCAAUUAUAUUCCUUUUUUUCAAACAAAAGUACAAUAAAAAUAUUUUUUUAUAAUCAUGAUUAGACAUACCUCUAAAAUGAGACAUUUGAUUGGUUUAUUACGCCACGUUACCAAUAUACCCGUUGCAUUCUAGAAUUUUUC